AGCGAACGCUGGCGGCAGGCCUAACACAUGCAAGUCGAACGGCAGCACAGUAAGUGCUUGCUCUUACGGGUGGCGAGUGGCGGACGGGUGAGGUAUACAUCGGAAUCUACUUUUUCGUGGGGGAUAACGUAGGGAAACUUACGCCAAUACAGCAUACGACCUACGGGUGAAAGCAGGGGAUCGUCGCACCUUGCGCGAUUGAAUGAGCCGAUGUCGGACUAGCUAGUUGGCGGGGUAAAGGCCCACCAAGGCGACGAUCCGUAGCUGGUCUGAGAGGAUGAUCGGCCACACUGGAACUGAGACACGGUCCAGACUCCUACGGGAGGCAGCAGUGGGGAAUAUUGGACAGUGGGCGCAAGCCUGAUCCAGCCAUACCGCGUGGGUGGAGAAGGCCUUCGGGUUGUAAAGCCCUUUUGUUGGGAAAGAAAAGCAGCAGGUUAAUACCCCGCUGUUCUGACGGUACCCAAAGAAUAAGCACCGGCUAACUUCGUG
Molecule: ribosomal RNA, 492 nt
Filed under: uncultured bacterium
Lineage: Bacteria
Description: partial 16S ribosomal RNA
Rfam family: Bacterial small subunit ribosomal RNA
Source: RNAcentral